Molecule: long non-coding RNA, 1631 nt
Organism: Neogobius melanostomus (round goby)
Lineage: Eukaryota; Metazoa; Chordata; Actinopteri; Gobiiformes; Gobiidae
Source: Ensembl
CCACCAAGGAGAUUUCCUAUGCGGAGCUCCAGCCCCUUGUUGGAAAGAGUACAAAUUUGUUACUGGUAGAUGUAAGAGGAAAGGAGGAAUAUGAAAGAGGGAACAUCCCCGGUUCAAUAAACAUUCCAGUAGACACAGUGGAGCAGCCUUUUCUAUGUCGCCAGAAGAGUUCAAGGCCAAGUAUGGAGUCACCAAGCCUCAGACAGAUGCCCCUGAGUUGGUUUUUCACUGCCAAAUGGGCAGAAGAGGGGCAGUUGCCACUAACAAGGCUCAUGAGAUGGGUUACAAAAAUGCGAGGAAUUAUGCUGGGGCAUUCAAGGAGUGGUCUGAAAAACAGUGACAGAGAAGUUUUCUCCUUGAUACGAUUUAAUGAUUUUGUCUUGUGACAGUUUUACUCAUUGUUUUACUGUUGUUUUGUGUUGUUUUGCUACUGGAUGUGCUACACAAAAGAAGGAAUAAAAUUGAGUUGCUGGGGGGAAAAAAUGUUUCGAUUGGCUCCGAUGUGUUUUAAUUUAAUUAGGCUAAGUAUGUUAAAUUCAUGCACAGGUUAGCUGAAAUGUUGUUAUAACUUAGUUUAUCUUUACCUGUGACGCUGAAAUGCUGGUGAUGUAUAGGAUUACAAAAGGAACAGGUUGAUUGAUAAUAAGGAAAAGGACUAAGUAGUAUACGUGAUUGCUAGCAGACCUUCUCAAAGGCCACAGCUGAGCCUCUUGUCUUGUUAAUUUUCGCGCGCUGAGCAUUUGGGUUUGGGUUUCCCACAACGAUCAGUCGGGCAGGGUUCAAUAUCAAGAAUGAUUCAAGAAAUUAAAGAGGUGCUUCGUCUGCUCAUGUUAAUGGUGAAACAAAACAAGAGUAAAUGCUUUGAUAAUAUUGGCGGACUUCUGGUUCUCAUAUGCACUGAAACGGAUCCCGAUGUCCGAAGUUUCAACUGCACAGUUGCUGCUGCUGGUCCGUGGUGUGCAGGAAUUCAAAUGCAAGAACUCCACCCAGUCUUUACAGAUUUACUGAACAGACUGUGUCCCUCCCUUGGAUCGUGUCCAGAGCCUGACAUAGAAGACUUGUGUGCCUUUACAGAUUUGCACGGUUCCCUCAAUGUAUUUCUGUCCUUUCCGAUAAGUAAUCCAGACAUUGUCAGACCAAAGUGGCAUCAUCAGAUCGAAACAUUUUUCCACACAUUUAGUUUGACGAAUGCAGGGAUCCAAGUUCAGCUUAAACUCAGAAUUAAUCAAAAACGUUUUCAAAGAGAAUAUAGAGUAAAAGAAUACCUCAGAGUUCCUUUGUCAGGCCACCGACUACUCUCCUUGGACGUCUCUGUCAAAACAACCCAUCGAAAGUCUUCUCAGAAUGGACCACGUUGCUAUGGCGGCCACCCUGACAUUGGCGAGAGCAUACUUCUCAGUAUUCCUCCCAAAGCCAUGGAACAAGGCCUUUUUGGAACUGUCACCCUUCAGCCUGUGUCCCUGCUGAGCCCUUGUGUGCUGCAGUACCCAAAUGCUGGAACAAACCUCAGUCACAUAAAAGUGUUGAUUUACAGUCCCAGCAAUAUUCCUGUUACAAGCCUUCUGCAUUCAUGCAGAACCUCGCAGCUCAUCUGGACUUUAAUGAAGUGGGUCUGCAGAGUGACCGCCUGA